GAGAUGGAUCCGCGUCCGAUUAGCUAGUUGGAGGGGUAACAGCCCACCAAGGCGACGAUCGGUAGCCGACCUGAGAGGGUGGACGGCCACAUUGGGACUGAGACACGGCCCAAACUCCUACGGGAGGCAGCAGUGGGGAAUAUUGCACAAUGGGGGAAACCCUGAUGCAGCAACGCCGCGUGAGUGAGGAAGUAUUUCGGUAUGUAAAGCUCUAUCAGCAGGGAAUAGAAAAGAAGGUACCUGAAAAAGAAGCCCCGGCUAACUACGUGCCAGCAGCCGCGGUAAUACGUAGGGGGCAAGCGUUAUCCGGAUUUACUGGGUGUAAAGGGAGCGUAGACGGAAAGGCAAGUCAGAAGUGAAAACCCAAGGCUCAACCAUGGGACUGCUUUUGAAACUGUCAAACUAGAGUACGGGAGAGGUAAGAGGAAUUCCUAGUGUAGCGGUGAAAUGCGUAGAUAUUAGGAGGAACACCAGUGGCGAAGGCGUCUUACUGGACCGAAACUGACGUUGAGGCUCGAAAGCGUGGGGAGCAAACAGGAUUAGAUACCCUGGUAGUCCACGCGGUAAACGAUGAAUACUAGGUGU
This 585-nucleotide ribosomal RNA is filed under the name uncultured bacterium. RNAcentral's name for it is "bacterial SSU rRNA". It matches the Rfam family "Bacterial small subunit ribosomal RNA", at positions 222 to 823 of the family's 1533-position model. The record is from RNAcentral.